This 60-nucleotide transfer RNA is filed under the name Pariaconus pele. RNAcentral describes it as "tRNA-Ser". The record is from RNAcentral. Lineage: Eukaryota; Metazoa; Arthropoda; Insecta; Hemiptera; Triozidae.
GUUGUGUAAUUUAUAUAAAAUAACUACCUUGAAAGUAGUAAAAGUACCCACUACAACUUC